Zootermopsis nevadensis is the source of this 827-nucleotide long non-coding RNA. RefSeq lists it as uncharacterized. The record is from RefSeq and is a predicted model, not a curated record. NCBI's taxonomy places the organism in Eukaryota, Metazoa, Arthropoda, Insecta, Blattodea, Termopsidae.
CUGGACGACCGGGGUUCGAUCCUCGACGGGGGGGGGGAGACAGAGGACAAAACCUAUAUAAUAAUGUUUGUCCCAACCUCGGGAGGUAUUCGAUGUAGCCUUUAAAACGGUUCGGGCAAAUAUAUAGACGUUCUGUUCUGUAGCUGGCACUAAGACCCAGAAAGUCUGUGGUGUGUAAAUCUCUUGGACAGCGGCCAUUUGGAAGACGCGCGAGAUGAAAUAACGACAUUGAUGUUUUAGGAUGAUUCACAGAGAACGAGGUUAUGGGGACUACAGAUUAUAGCUGUCCAGGACCUCGGUUCGAGCCCAGAUUUAAUAACCACAAAGAAUCAUAUCCUCUGCGAAGCACAAAGUCAAGAUAUAAAGCACGCAAAGGCCAUUGAACAUCCCAUUACAGUUUUGCAUAUUUCAUUACACAAAGAAUCGAUCUGGUGGACAAGCCAGUCAGCGGUGAUUUAAAAGGGGAUUUUUGAAGCUGAGGUCCUUCAAAACUUCCAAACUCCACGCACAAGGCCAUCAGUUGAUAAACAUGGCUGUUUUACGUCAGCAACCCAGGUAAAAGUUAUUUGUUGGAACACAGUUCAAGAAAAAAAUUUAAAUAAUAUUAUAUAAAUAUUCUAUAAUGAUAAUAUAUUAAGUCAGAUAGAUAAGAAUUAGCGAUCAGAUAAUUUUGGAAAAAUAUUGCAUUAGGUUCAAGUUUUGAUGACCGUCUUUUGUAUUUUCUGGUAAACCUUUGAUAUGUGUGCCUUCAGAAGAGUUUAUUCUGAACAGUAAAUGUGUAUCCAGUUUUAGAAAACUAUCCAAUAACAAAUUGUUUAUCAAACUUA